GGGAAACUGCCCGAUGGAGGGGGAUAACUACUGGAAACGGUAGCUAAUACCGCAUAACGUCGCAAGACCAAAGUGGGGGACCUUCGGGCCUCACACCAUCGGAUGUGCCCAGAUGGGAUUAGCUAGUAGGUGGGGUAAUGGCUCACCUAGGCGACGAUCCCUAGCUGGUCUGAGAGGAUGACCAGCCACACUGGAACUGAGACACGGUCCAGACUCCUACGGGAGGCAGCAGUGGGGAAUAUUGCACAAUGGGCGCAAGCCUGAUGCAGCCAUGCCGCGUGUAUGAAGAAGGCCUUCGGGUUGUAAAGUACUUUCAGCGGGGAGGAAGGCGGUGAAGUUAAUAGCUUCACCGAUUGACGUUACCCGCAGAAGAAGCACCGGCUAACUCCGUGCCAGCAGCCGCGGUAAUACGGAGGGUGCAAGCGUUAAUCGGAAUUACUGGGCGUAAAGCGCACGCAGGCGGUCUGUCAAGUCGGAUGUGAAAUCCCCGGGCUUAACCUGGGAACUGCAUUCGAAACUGGCAGGCUAGAGUCUUGUAGAGGGGGGGUAGAAUUCCAGGU
This 560-nucleotide ribosomal RNA is filed under the name uncultured bacterium. RNAcentral's name for it is "bacterial SSU rRNA". It matches the Rfam family "Bacterial small subunit ribosomal RNA", at positions 120 to 674 of the family's 1533-position model. The record is from RNAcentral.